This 1053-nucleotide ribosomal RNA is filed under the name Triticum aestivum (bread wheat). RNAcentral describes it as "partial small subunit ribosomal RNA". The record is from RNAcentral. Lineage: Eukaryota; Viridiplantae; Streptophyta; Magnoliopsida; Poales; Poaceae.
AUGAAUGGGUUUAACCUAGGUACUUGGCUAGAUAUUGAUGUAACUAGAUGGACUAUAAAAGAGUAUAUUCAAGAUCGAAUUCAAUCUGAUGGAUCAUCUUGCGGCUUGUUCAUGCUACAAUUCAUUGAAUACUGGACAGGACACAAACUGUCACAUCCUAUUACACAGGAAGAUGUCAAACCCUUCAGGCAAAAAGUAGCAAUCAUUCUCCAUGAAUCAGAUCUGAACGAUAUAAAAGGAACUCCUGAGUACCAUAAUCCAGCAGACGAUAUAAUAGAUACUGACGGUGUUGAAAUAUUGGACCCGCCACCUGCCAUGGUUGUUCUGAGAAUGCCACUUAAUAAAAAUGAGCUACUUUGCAAACUUCGAGGUCAUAUCAUGUCCAUUCAUAAUGCAGAUUCCCGAGAGAAAGAAUGGAUCCGUAGCUCCAAGCCCUACCCACUAAGUAUAAGUCUUAGACAACUACAAGACUUACUAAAGAAUACACGGGCUAUUGAUGUCGACAGUUUUAAUAUGGCUGUUCGAGUAAAUGCUACAGACGACAUUCAAUGGGCUAAAGACACUCCAUAUCACUAUAUGGAUCUCAGAUUUUCUAUGAUACUAAAUGACUCUACACAAGAUCCAAAACUCCGUUUACCAUUUGAUGCCCAACGCUACAUUAUUGCAAAACUAUUUCAUUGUUGGCCUGAUAUGUGCUUUGACGUCUCGGUGUGCAAGUUGAUUUUGUUGCCGUUUUGUACAACCGGUCGCUUCAUCCUCUUCCUGUUCGACCUAUUGGAUAGAACAAUCACUAUACUUGACCCUCUUCCCCUAUCGGAUGCAUGGAAAAAGAAUCCUUCACAGAAGGACAUAUUUAAGAUUCAAUGUAUUUCAUUCCAUCUAAACAUAGCAUUACAAGAUGCAAUUCCUGGCUGGAAUGAUGAUGUUUUUAGAUGGCGUCGCAUCAUACCAAUUGGAGUUCCAAAAAACCCAAACAGCAAUAUGUCUGGGUUUUUAGUUUUAAAGAUUAUGCGCACGUGGCAUGAUCAUGAACAUGGAUUACCAGUUGUCCCG